CACUUUGGGAGGCCGAGGCGGGCAGAUCAUGAGGUCAGAAGAUCAAGACCAUCCUGGCUAACACGGUGAAACCCCGUUUCUACUAAAAAUACAAAAAAUUAGCUGGGCGCAGUGGCGGGCAGCUGUAGUCCCAGCUACUCGGGAGGCUGAGGAAGGAGAAUGGCGUGAACCCGGGAGGCGGAGCUUGCAGUGAGCCGAGAUUGUGCCAUUGCACUCUAGCCUGGGUGACAGAGUGAGACUCCGUCUCAAAAAAAAAAAAAAAAAAGGAAAAAAAAAAGUGCUCAUUAUGUGGGGAUGGGAUGGGCUCUUUAGUUCGAACUGUUUCAGAACAGCACUUUUCCUCCAUGCCUUCAACUCAACAAGUGACCAUAUUCCAUCAAAAUGUGAAGUUGUUUUUUUAAACAAAUUUUGUCUCCUGUGUAGUUAUUUCUUAGUGAGUUGGUGGAGGGGAUCUUCCUCGUUGAGUCUUCAUGCAUUUGGUCUUUG
This 486-nucleotide long non-coding RNA is filed under the name Homo sapiens (human). RNAcentral's name for it is "HSALNT0405013". Lineage: Eukaryota; Metazoa; Chordata; Mammalia; Primates; Hominidae. The record is from RNAcentral.